ACGGGUGCAGCAGGCGCGAAAACUUUACAAUGCGGGAAACCGUGAUAAGGGAACCCCGAGUGCCCGUAAAUUCGGGCUGUCCGUCAGUGUAAAUAACUGGCGAAGAAAGGGCCGGGCAAGACCGGUGCCAGCCGCCGCGGUAAUACCGGCGGCUCGAGUGGUGGCCGCUAUUACUGGGCUUAAAGCGUCCGUAGCUGGGUUGUUAAGUCUCCUGGGAAAUCCACCGGCUCAACCGAUGGGCGUUCAGGAGAUACUGGCAACCUAGGGACCGGGAGAGGUGAGAGGUACUCCAGGGGUAGGAGUGAAAUCCUGUAAUCCUUGGGGGACCACCUGUGGCGAAGGCGUCUCACCAGAACGGCUCCGACAGUGAGGGACGAAAGCUGGGGGAGCAAACCGGAUUAGAUACCCGGGUAGUCCCAGCUGUAAACGAUGCGCGUUAGGUGUAUCGGUGACCACGAGUCACCGAGGUGCCGAAGAGAAAUCGUGAAACGUGCCGCCUGGGAAGUACGGUCGCAAGGCUGAAUCUUUAAAGGAAUUGGCGGGGGAGCAC
This 550-nucleotide ribosomal RNA is filed under the name uncultured archaeon. Its description in RNAcentral is "bacterial SSU rRNA". It matches the Rfam family "Archaeal small subunit ribosomal RNA", at positions 325 to 879 of the family's 1478-position model. The record is from RNAcentral.